AGUUGAAAAAGCCACAGCCGUCGUGAGGCGGUGUCGGAAAGCCAAGGGUCUUUUUAUAAGACAGCCGGGUUACCUAC
RNAcentral lists this non-coding RNA (77 nucleotides) under Candidatus Electrothrix marina. RNAcentral's name for it is "c-di-GMP-I riboswitch aptamer". It matches the Rfam family "c-di-GMP-I riboswitch aptamer". Rfam says of the family: GEMM was predicted in a large-scale screen for bacterial structured RNA regulatory elements. Genes associated with GEMM are involved in a diverse array of functions, including chemotaxis regulation, signal transduction, secretion and chitin. The record is from Rfam by way of RNAcentral. Lineage: Bacteria; Pseudomonadati; Thermodesulfobacteriota; Desulfobulbia; Desulfobulbales; Desulfobulbaceae.